Molecule: ribosomal RNA, 497 nt
Filed under: uncultured bacterium
Lineage: Bacteria
Description: partial 16S ribosomal RNA
Rfam family: Bacterial small subunit ribosomal RNA
Source: RNAcentral
ACUCAAAUGAAUUGACGGGGGCCCGCACAAGCGGUGGAGUAUGUGGUUUAAUUCGAUGCAACGCGAAGAACCUUACCUACUCUUGACAUGGUGCGAAUCUGAUAGAGAUAUCGGAGUGCCGAAAGGAACGCACACACAGGUGCUGCAUGGCUGUCGUCAGCUCGUGUCGUGAGAUGUUGGGUUAAGUCCCGCAACGAGCGCAACCCUUAUCUUUAGUUACCAUCAUUCAGUUGGGGACUCUAGAGAGACUGCCGAUCUAUGAUCGGAGGAAGGGGGGGAUGACGUCAAGUCAUCAUGGCCCUUACGAGUAGGGCUACACACGUACUACAAUGGUCGGUACAGAGGGACGCAAGACCGCGAGGUGGAGCAAAUCCCACAAAGCCGAUCGUAGUCCGGAUUGGAGUCUGCAACUCGACUCCAUGAAGCCGGAAUCGCUAGUAAUCGCAGAUCAGAAUGCUGCGGUGAAUACGUUCCCGGGCCUUGUACACACCGCCCGU